Long non-coding RNA from Drosophila serrata, 311 nucleotides. NCBI's taxonomy places the organism in Eukaryota, Metazoa, Arthropoda, Insecta, Diptera, Drosophilidae. The record is from RefSeq and is a predicted model, not a curated record.
AUGCGAACGGAGCGGUAUCGGAACGGAAAAGCGGAAAAUGCGGCCGGACUAAAGAAGAUACAGUGCGAGAGAGUGAGACACAGAUAGACGGCCGAGCAACAGUGAAAAGCGUUUGAAGGGCCAUAGAUACAAGAUAAUGUCCCAUCGAGUACGAAUCCGCCACCUCUCCCGGCGAUACAUAUGUGAAAAUCAUUCAGUGAAUCCCAAAGUGAAAGUGUGCUAAAGUCGACCGGAAUCGAGGAGAAGAAUACGGGAAAUUCGCAGGGAAAAACUUUUCUCCUGUGCGCUUAGGACAUUAGCGGCGGAAUGAG